Molecule: long non-coding RNA, 2285 nt
Organism: Frieseomelitta varia
Lineage: Eukaryota; Metazoa; Arthropoda; Insecta; Hymenoptera; Apidae
Exons: 4
Source: RefSeq, a predicted model, not a curated record
AUUGGCAGAUUGCGUUUUAUAAACGGCUGGAAUAGUCUCGGUCAAUCAAGAUCGGCAAUUUUCAAAUUUUACCGGCGAGUGGCAGUUCCAGUGGGAAUUGCUUGCUGCAACGCUGAAAGGGUCCCCGGACGAUCUCAUCGCUUCGCCAAUUUCGCAGAAAGUGUCGCGUUACAGCUAAUGUUGAAGCGUUGUGACGAUAAAUCAUUUCGAAGAAUCUAUUAUCAAAGAACGUGCAUUUCUUCGCUCUCGGAGGGAAUUCAACGAUUCUCCCGCUUCGUUUCAAAGAUGUGAACGAAAUCUCGGGUGGUCAAUAACGCGUGAGAAAGAAGCAGCAGAAAUACUGAGAGGGAAGGAAAUGGAGGGAGUAUCGUCGGCAAAGAGGACCAUCGGCAGAUGGACAUGAAUAAGCUGCUCUGGAAGACACGAUAUAUAUUGUACAUAUAUAGGAACCGCAAGUGUCCAGACACUUGGUGAAAUUUGAUCGAGAAGCAAACCACCUGGAGAGGAGAGCCACCCAUCCAAGGAGGACGCCAAGAAAGAAGAUUGACGAAGGAAAGAAAGGAUCGGAGCGAGCAGGUGAAACAAGUUACGUCGCGAAGCUUAUGGUGGUAGAGUGAGUUGAACGCGAGCAGAGGAUAGAUAAGGACGCGUCGAACGAGCGGCGCGGCUGAGGAGAAGAGAGAGGAUAAUGGUGGCGCAUGCUCCUCCUCGUUGGGCACGUAUCGUAGAGCAGCAGGCAGUUGUUGCCCUCGUCGGCUCCAGGUACACGCGAAAAUCCAUAUCGACGCGGUGCACCGUCCCCAACGGCCGUUGACAGACUCCGCGGGCGACUCGGACACCCCGGCGAUCAACGGCGAGCGUCGCGACGCAGCUUCCUCGAGAUCUACGCGCCGCUACAUACCAUAUCACCGAGCCUCGAGCCACGUGCCUCCGCCAGUCGCGUGUUACUGCUCAAACAGACCGCCGCCGAAUCAACUUUCAAACCGCUUCUCGCGGUUCUCCCCUGUUCUCCCUUGUUCUUCUCCUCCACGCCGCGAAUCUUACCGCCGGGAUUUUCUUACACGUUACACGUUACGAGUGUGGCCUCGUCGUUUGGAACUAGCGAGUGGUGAUGGCGAGAAACGAAGUUUGAAAAGAGAAGAACGGUUGACAGGUAGGGGUAGGAAUUUUGAGAAGGGAGCAAGUGUUGUUUAGGAUGAUAAAAAGAAAGAUUGGUUGAUUGGAAGGGAAAAGUGAUUAUUGGGGACGAUCGAAGGGUUAACAGGUAGGAAUAAGAAUUUUGAGGAAAAAAGCAAGUGUUGUUUAGUAACGAUGAAAAACGAACUGGUUAGGUGGAAGAAGGAAGUGAUUAUUGGGGACGAUUGAAGAUAGAAAUAGGGAGUUUGAGAAGAGAACAAGUGUUAUUUAGGAUGUUAAAGAGAAAGAUUGGCUGAUUGGAAGAAAGAAGUGAUUAUUGGAGACGAUUGAAGGUAGAAAUAGAAAUUUUGAAAAGAGAACGAGUGAUAAAAAAAGAACUGGUUGGAAGAAGGAAGUGAUUAUUGAAGGAUUGAUAGGUAAAAAGAGAAAUUUUGAGAAGAGAACAAGCGUUAUUUAGGAUGAUAGAAAGUAAUUGAUUAAUUGGAAGAAGGAAGUGAUCAUUGGGGACGAUUGAAGUUAGAAACAGGAAAAAGAACAAGUGUUAUUUAGGAUGUUAAAGAGAAAGAUUGGCUGAUUGGAAGAAGGAAGUGAUUAUUGGAGACGAUUGAAGGUAGGAAUAAGAAUUUUGAGAAGAGAACGAGUGAUAAAAAAAGAACUGGUUGGAAGAAGGAAGUGAUUAUUGAAGGAUUGAUAGGUAAAAAGAGAAAUUUUGAAAAGAGAACAAACGUUAUUUAGGAUGAUAAAAAGAAAUUGAUUGAUUGGAAGAAGGAAGUGAUUAUUAGGAACGAUUGAAGGUAAAAGUAGGAAUUUUUUUGAAAGGAGAACAAGUGUUAUUUAGGAAGAUUGGAAGAAGAAAGUGAUUAUUGAAGGUAAGAAUAGAAAUUUUUAGAAGAGAACAAGCGUUAUUUAGAAGUGAUAAAAAGAAAUUGGUCGAAGAAAGGAAAUGAUUAUUGGAGACGGUUGAGGGUUGGAACAGGAAUUUCAAGAAGAGAACAAGUGUUACUUAGGAUGAUAAAGAGGACGAUUUUGAAUAUAAUACGAAUUUUAAGGGUGUCGUUUAUCCCAAGGAAAUUCAUCAUUUUAAGUAAAAAAAUUGUCAAAAGGGAGAAAGAGAUGAUUGUUUAGAAAAAGGAGGUGUUUGUACGAAA